RNAcentral lists this long non-coding RNA (591 nucleotides) under Olea europaea subsp. europaea. Lineage: Eukaryota; Viridiplantae; Streptophyta; Magnoliopsida; Lamiales; Oleaceae. The record is from RNAcentral.
UUUGAUGAGAACUCCAUGGUAGCUUCGUUGAAAGCUACAGUGCCCGAUGGUAAUGAUGUUGAGACUACAAUGUCUCAAGUUGUUGACAUAGAACCUAGAGACCAACCUGAUUCUAGAUAUGUUCAAGAGGAGCAUCAUACAAACACUCAAGAUGAGAGUGAUGAUGCACUUGAACAAGAGGCGGUUCAGCAAGAGAAUGUACAGGCACAGCAACAACAACGGCUUGCAGAUAACUUGGCUUCCUCUAGGCCACGCCGUACUUACAAGCAAGUUCUAAAGUUGGGGUCAGACGAGCCUUUGAGGCACUAUGGGCAGACAAAUUUGGUUGAGUAUGCACUCUCGGUGGAGGAUGAUGAGCCUACCACUUUCAAGGAAGCUAUUUUAAACAACAAUAGCGAGAGUUGGUUGGUGGCAAUGAAAGAAGAGAUGGAAUCACUUCACAAGAACCAAACAUAGGAGGUUGUCCCAUUGCCCAUAGGUAAGAAAGCUAUUAGUUGCAAGUGGUUGUAUAAAAAAAAGGAGGAUCCUACCAAGCUCGGUGGUACAAGAUUCAAAACGAGGUUGGUGGCUAAGGGGUUUGCACUAAGAGAG